AUUGAACGCUGGCGGCAGGCCUAACACAUGCAAGUCGAGCGGAUGAAGGGAGCUUGCUCCUGGAUUCAGCGGCGGAAGGGUGAGUAAUGCCUAGGAAUCUGCCUGGUAGUGGGGGAUAACGUCCGGAAACGGGCGCUAAUACCGCAUACGUCCUGAGGGAGAAAGUGGGGGAUGUUCGGACCUCAUGCUAUCAGAUGAGCCUAGGUCGGGUUAGCUAGUUUGUGGGGUAAAGGCCUACCAAGGCGAUGAUCCGUAACUGGUCUGAGAGGAUGAUCAGUCACACUGGAACUUGAACACGGUCCAGACUCCUACGGGAGGCCGCAGUGGGGAAUAUUGGACAAUGGGCGAAAGCCUGAUCCAGCCAUGCCGCGUGUGUGAAGAAGGUCUUCGGAUUGUAAAGCACUUUAAGUUGGGAGGAAGGGCAGUAAGUUAAUACCUUGCUGUUUUGACGUUACCAACAGAAUAAGCACCGGCUAACUUCGUG
Molecule: ribosomal RNA, 484 nt
Filed under: uncultured bacterium
Lineage: Bacteria
Description: partial 16S ribosomal RNA
Rfam family: Bacterial small subunit ribosomal RNA
Source: RNAcentral